UAUGUUUUGCCAGCUGCCGUAAAUGACUGUAAAAGAGCAGCAAAGAACAAGUGCAGUAAAGAAGAACGAUGGCUGCUCUCUCACCGGCUGUGGACUCAUUGCCCAUCCAGCAGCAUCCUCCUCCUCUUGCUUUGCCCGUCAACUGUUCUGCAACCGUGGCUGCAGAGUCUCGAAUGAGUGUGACUCUGCAAAUUUUAGUUGAAAAGAUUCCUCAUUUUACUGCAACAACCUACAGUCAAGUGUAUGAGAUUUCAAAAGACAGCAGCAAGAACUGAUGAAAACAGACCAUUUUUCUUGAUCCCCAUACAAUAAUUGAAUGGCCAUUGACAAUCACAAUAAUCAUACAUAAGCUUGUAGCAAGUAAAUCUCAGCUCUUAAUAUUUUCUGAUGCCUGUGCUACAUGAAAUAUAAUUUGUGAGGAAAUUACAUUUAUUGUUCACAUUUGUGUGACUGGAAAGCACAAAACUGGCUGUACAGGAUUAAAAAAAAAAAUAGAAAUAUAUACUGGAAAAAGCCUAUCAAAUUCAUUCAGCUCCUCUGGACUUUGGCACAUUUUUUGCAGUGUUUCAAGUCUUUAAUAUCAAUCAUGUAGAAAUACGCCAAAAGAAAGUGCAGAUGUGAAAAAAAAGGUUUAAUAUUAAGUAGAGGCUACACUUUGAGUGCAUAUGGAUGGACCCACACAUCUUCACGUUUAGGGUUGUUGUCUUGUUAGAAAAAUAAAUAGUUUCACAAAUAUCUGUUGUGCAGACUGUCUUUCUCCAGGAUCUCUUUUUUGCUGCAUUGUUUAAUCCCUGUGCUUUUACGAGCCCGUAGGAUCUGCUGCAGAGAAACAUUCCCUCGAUGUUGGAGUUGGUGUGUCUCCGUUUAUGUGCACUGUUUGGUUUACACCUGACAUUGCAUUUAGCGUGAUGAGUUCGUGGCCCCUUUAAUGUUUCAUAAGGCCUUAUGUUGUAUGGCCUGUCAAGAUGUGCCCUUCUCACUCAGGCUCACAUGUUUUGAGGAUGGAUUUACAGCUGUGCUCUUUGAUAUGCAUAUUUCAAGCGAUGCUCAGUGCCCCGAGAAUUUUCUUAUAUCAUGCACCCGACUUUUCAGUAGUCUCAUGAUGCAAUGGCUUUGACUUGAUGAUGUAAUUUUUGCCAUGAUGACUAACCAGCAAGUGACCCUGUGGAUAAGUUAGUGUUUAAAGUAAAGUCACUUGUCACACUUUGAUUGGACACACAUGUGAUUUUAGUGUCAAUAGAGAUUGUUUAGGUAUGGAUGAUUGACACAUUAAAGGAAAACCAGCAUGAAAUGUUUCAGUAAGAUGCUGCACAACAAGAACAGCUUCAGUUCAUCUGACUGGCAGCACUGAUUCUGUAAGUCUCUGUAGGAGAGAUUAAAAACCGUUAUUCCAAAA
Molecule: long non-coding RNA, 1396 nt
Organism: Stegastes partitus (bicolor damselfish)
Lineage: Eukaryota; Metazoa; Chordata; Actinopteri; Pomacentridae
Exons: 2
Source: RefSeq, a predicted model, not a curated record